AGGGCGGGACACGUGAUAUCCUGUCUGAAUAUGGGGGGACCAUCCUCCAAGGCUAAAUACUACUGACUGACCGAUAGUGAACCAGUACCGUGAGGGAAAGGCGAAAAGAACCCCUGUGAGGGGAGUGAAAUAGAACCUGAAACCGUGUACGUACAAGCAGUAGGAGCAGGCUUUGUCCUGUGACUGCGUACCUUUUGUAUAAUGGGUCAGCGACUUAUAUUCAGUGGCAAGGUUAACCAUCUAGGGGAGCCGUAGGGAAACCGAGUCUUAACUGGGCGUUCAGUCUCUGGAUAUAGACCCGAAACCAGGUGAUCUAGCCAUGGGCAGGUUGAAGGUUGAGUAACAUCAACUGGAGGACCGAACCGACUAAUGUUGAAAAAUUAGCGGAUGACUUGUGGCUAGGGGUGAAAGGCCAAUCAAACCUGGAGAUAGCUGGUUCUCCCCGAAAGCUAUUUAGGUAGCGCCUCGGACGAAUACUACUGGGGGUAGAGCACUGUUAAGGCUAGGGGGUCAUCCCGACUUACCAACCCUUUGCAAACUCCGAAUACCAGUAAGUACUAUCCGGGAGACACACGGCGGGUGCUAACGUCCGUCGUGGAGAGGGAAACAACCCAGACCGCCAGCUAAGGUCCCAAAUUACUACUAAGUGGGAAACGAUGUGGGAAGGCUCAGACAGCCAGGAUGUUGGCUUAGAAGCAGCCAUCAUUUAAAGAAAGCGUAAUAGCUCACUGGUCGAGUCGGCCUGCGCGGAAGAUGUAACGGGGCUAAGUA
This 771-nucleotide ribosomal RNA is filed under the name Vibrio parahaemolyticus. RNAcentral describes it as "partial 23S ribosomal RNA". It matches the Rfam family "Bacterial large subunit ribosomal RNA", at positions 414 to 1188 of the family's 2925-position model. The record is from RNAcentral. Lineage: Bacteria; Pseudomonadati; Pseudomonadota; Gammaproteobacteria; Vibrionales; Vibrionaceae.